UACGUAGGGGGCGAGCGUUGUCCGGAAUUAUUGGGCGUAAAGGGCGCGUAGGCGGUCUUGUAAGUCAGCUGCGAAAGCCCGGGGCUCAACCCCGGAGGGUCGGCUGAUACUGCAGGACUGGAGUACGGAAGAGGUAGCUGGAAUUCCCGGUGUAGCGGUGAAAUGCGUAGAUAUCGAGAGGAACACCUGCGGCGAAGGCGGGUUGCUGGGCUGACACUGACGCUGAACUGCGAAAGCUAGGGGAGCGAACGGG
RNAcentral lists this ribosomal RNA (253 nucleotides) under uncultured bacterium. RNAcentral's name for it is "partial 16S ribosomal RNA". It matches the Rfam family "Bacterial small subunit ribosomal RNA", at positions 524 to 776 of the family's 1533-position model. The record is from RNAcentral.